AACGAACGCUGGCGGCAUGCCUAACACAUGCAAGUCGAACGAAGCCUUCGGGCUUAGUGGCGCACGGGUGCGUAACACGUGGGAAUCUGCCCUUCGGUUCGGAAUAACAGUUAGAAAUGACUGCUAAUACCGGAUGAUGACGAAAGUCCAAAGAUUUAUCGCCGAAGGAUGAGCCCGCGUAGGAUUAGGUAGUUGGUAGGGUAAUGGCCUACCAAGCCGACGAUCCUUAGCUGGUCUGAGAGGAUGAUCAGCCACACUGGGACUGAGACACGGCCCAGACUCCUACGGGAGGCAGCAGUGGGGAAUAUUGGACAAUGGGCGAAAGCCUGAUCCAGCAAUGCCGCGUGAGUGAUGAAGGCCUUAGGGUUGUAAAGCUCUUUUACCAGGGAUGAUAAUGACAGUACCUGGAGAAUAAGCUCCGGCUAACUCCGUACCAGCAGCCGCGGU
Molecule: ribosomal RNA, 447 nt
Filed under: uncultured bacterium
Lineage: Bacteria
Description: bacterial SSU rRNA
Rfam family: Bacterial small subunit ribosomal RNA
Source: RNAcentral